UUGGCUACAGCUGCUGGAAAGAGACUCCGACUCACAGCAGGCAAACGCAGCAUGCUGGAGGAAGAGGGGCGACAUCACGUGUGAGCUCUAGCUGGUCUGACAGGCACAUUCUCCCGAGUGUCGACAACACAUUCAAAGUUGGUGCGUGAUGAUGUAAAACAUGGAGAAGCGUGCUGCUCACCCACACAUGCUCUCCAACACCAACACACAGCAGAAUAGCUGUUAGCAAGCUAGCUUACUUGUAGCUGUUGGCUAAGGGAGCGGCUAAUUACUAAAAACAACAUAUAGACACUACCCACUGGGCUCUGUAUAUAAACGCUCUACAUGUAUACAUGACUGUGUCGGGUGUUGACAGCGCGUAAAAGCAGGAUGUCAGUGUGUCUCUAAUCCAACAGUGAUGUAAUCCUCACAAGUCAGAGUUCACCAGAGAUGAAUAACAGGACGCGGCUCGAUUUGUAAACAGACCCUCAGGAAAAGGGAGAAGGAAAUGCAGCAUCUGGACGCUCCUCGGGCUUGUGCAUAGUUGUGAGGAGUGUGUAAAUCCUGCUGGAAACCUGGUGUGUGUGUGUUAAACUUCAAAAGCCUUCCCCAUCAUGAGCUCCGGCGUGUUGAGGCUGGGAAAGGGUGUGUCCCGAGAAACCCUGGAACACAGUGUCAACAUCCAUCUAGAUCAACAGAUCCCUCGUAGUGUGAUUCAUGUUGUUUGUUCUGGACGAAAUCAGAAAUAAACUGCGAGAAGAGUCCUACUUUUGCACAUAUCUGAAAUAUUGGUAUCGUCAUCAAGGCCAAAACGGAACUCAUCACCGCCACAAUUUGAUUCCAGUGUUUAUCUUCUAUCUCUACUCUACACUACAAUUACACUGUAAAGGAAUGUCAUGAAAAGAACGUCUUCAAAUGCAGAGGAAUAGCUGCAACUUUGCCCAAAUUUGUUUGUGAAAAGAUAAAAACUGACAAACUGUUAAAGACUACAUGGACAAAAUGCUAAAUGCAAGAAUCAGUGCAAUCCACAAAUAAUAAUGAAGAUGUCCGUAAAUAAGGAAAAAAGACAAGCACUAAACAAUCCCGAAUCAGAUUAUAAGUAAUUAUGAGAACUAUUAGAACAACAAUAAGAAUAGGAUUUAAAUAACAUAAGAUAACAGUAUUUAUUGUCCCAAUUUUUCUGUAGAAGCAUCUCUAAAUCUGUUGUACUGCUU
Molecule: long non-coding RNA, 1193 nt
Organism: Hippoglossus stenolepis (Pacific halibut)
Lineage: Eukaryota; Metazoa; Chordata; Actinopteri; Pleuronectiformes; Pleuronectidae
Exons: 4
Source: RefSeq, a predicted model, not a curated record